GACGAACGCUGGCGGCGCGCUUAACACAUGCAAGUCGAACGGAAAGGCCUGCUUUCCCUUGUGGAUUGCGGGUACUCGAGUGGCGAACGGGUGAGUAACACGUGAGUGAUCUGCCCCCAACUUGGGUAUAAGCCUGGGAAACUGGGUCUAAUUCCCGAUAGGACUGCAGGGUGGUGCCUGUGGUGGAAAACGAUUUUCUAGUGGUUGGGGAUGAGCUCGCGGCCUAUCAGCUUGUUGGUGGGGUAAUGGCCUACCAAGGCGGCGACGGGUAGCCGGCCUGAGAGGGUGGACGGCCACAUUGGGACUGAGAUACGGCCCAGACUCCUACGGGAGGCAGCAGUGGGGAAUAUUGCACCAUGGGCGGAAGCCUGAUGCAGCGACGCCGCGUGGGGGAUGACGGCCUUCGGGUUGUAAACUCCUUUCGACCGCGAGGAAGCCACCUGGUUGGAAGGGUGGUGACGGUAGUGGUAGAAGAAGCACCGGCUAACUACGUG
RNAcentral lists this ribosomal RNA (494 nucleotides) under uncultured bacterium. RNAcentral describes it as "partial 16S ribosomal RNA". It matches the Rfam family "Bacterial small subunit ribosomal RNA", at positions 28 to 507 of the family's 1533-position model. The record is from RNAcentral.